This 486-nucleotide ribosomal RNA is filed under the name uncultured bacterium. Its description in RNAcentral is "partial 16S ribosomal RNA". It matches the Rfam family "Bacterial small subunit ribosomal RNA", at positions 899 to 1397 of the family's 1533-position model. The record is from RNAcentral.
ACUCAAAUGAAUUGACGGGGGCCCGCACAAGCAGCGGAGCGUGUGGUUUAAUUCGAGGCUACACGAAGAACCUUACCUGGGUUUGACAUGCAGGUGGUAGGGAAGUGAAAGCGGACCGACCGCAAGGAGCCUGCACAGGUGCUGCAUGGCUGUCGUCAGCUCGUGCCGUGAGGUGUUAGGUUAAGUCCUGUAACGAGCGCAACCCCCGGGUCCAGUUACACGUUGUCUGGACCGACUGCCCGUGACAAGCGGGAGGAAGGUGGGGAUGACGUCAAGUCAGCAUGGCCUUUAUAUCCAGGGCUACACACACGCUACAAUGGCCGGUACAAUGGGUCGCCAAGCCGCAAGGCGGAGCCAAUCCAGACAAAGCCGGUCACAGUUCGGAUUGUGGGCUGCAACCCGCCCACAUGAAGUCGGAGUUGCUAGUAACCGCCGGUCAGCCAUACGGCGGUGAAUACGUUCCCGGGCCUUGUACACACCGCCCGU